This 253-nucleotide ribosomal RNA is filed under the name uncultured bacterium. RNAcentral's name for it is "partial 16S ribosomal RNA". It matches the Rfam family "Bacterial small subunit ribosomal RNA", at positions 524 to 776 of the family's 1533-position model. The record is from RNAcentral.
UACGUAGGGCGCAAGCGUUGUCCGGAAUUAUUGGGCGUAAAGAGCUCGUAGGCGGCUCGUUGCGUCGGCUGUGAAAACCCGCAGCUCAACUGUGGGCUUGCAGCCGAUACGGGCGGGCUGGAGUUCGGUAGGGGAGACUGGAAUUCCUGGUGUAGCGGUGAAAUGCGCAGAUAUCAGGAGGAACACCGGUGGCGAAGGCGGGUCUCUGGGCAACUCCUGACGCUGAGGCGCGAAAGCGUGGGGAGCGAACAGG